CCUACGGGUGGCAGCAGUGAGGAAUAUUGGUCAAUGGACGCGAGUCUGAACCAGCCAAGUCGCGUGAAGGAUGACUGCCCUACGGGUUGUAAACUUCUUUUAUAAAGGAAUAAAGUGAUGCACGUGUGCCUUUUUGUAUGUACUUUAUGAAUAAGGAUCGGCUAACUCCGUGCCAGCAGCCGCGGUAAUACGGAGGAUCCGAGCGUUAUCCGGAUUUAUUGGGUUUAAAGGGAGCGUAGAUGGGUUGUUAAGUCAGGUGUGAAAGUUUUCGGCUCAAACGUAAAAUUGCAAUUGAUACUGGCAGACUGGAGUACAGUGGAGGUAGGCGGAAUUCGUGGUGUAGCGGUGAAAUGCUUAGAUAUCACGAAGAACUCCGAUUGCGAAGGCAGCUUACUAAACUGCAACUGACACUGAGGCUCGAAAGUGUGGGUAUCAAACAGGAUUAGAUACCCGGGUAGUC
RNAcentral lists this ribosomal RNA (460 nucleotides) under uncultured bacterium. Its description in RNAcentral is "partial 16S ribosomal RNA". It matches the Rfam family "Bacterial small subunit ribosomal RNA", at positions 338 to 795 of the family's 1533-position model. The record is from RNAcentral.